CUACAUGUCACCCUAUGUGAUUCAGCUGUGCUUGAACCCAGUUUCUUUUCCUCACUAGCCCAGUCUGCAGAUAUAUCUUAUUUGUUCCUGACCUCUUCUGGAGCUCUCAGCACAUUUCAGAGUUUAAUAGAUUAGACACCACAGCUCCACUAUGAAACAGAACUUGCAUUCCUUGGCUGCCUCCGGAUGUGCAAAUGCUGGUGGAGGCUGGAACCCCCCUGUGCCUGACUAGCAGCCAGCGAAUACCUUCCUUGGUCAAGGACCUUGCUGCAUCUCUCUGCAUUUCUCACUUCCAUUCUGGAUCACUGCGCUCCUCACCAGAACAAAGGUAAUCCAAGCUAACAGAAAAGGAAGGUGUGCCUGUGCUCUGUAUACAUAGAGUGCAUUUAAUCUCUACUUACAUACAGAUUGUGCUAACUUUGUAAGAAAUACCUACUUUAGUUGUGCUGGAGUGACUGAACCUCGGGGUUCAUACAAUUAGCUUUGUUAUUAUCAGAAGUGCAAGCAGUUGUACUUUGCACUUGAGUGCAAACUGCAGAAUCCAUCUAAGAUGCUGAGUAUGGGAGCUAGACCACGGUGCUACAGCUGCACUCUAACCAAAACCAUAUUUUAUACCUCAUCUGAGUUUGUGUUUGUGAUUGUAAAUAGAUAUGCCCUUUGAGGAUUUUGUUCUUCUGGCUCUUACGUUGGUGAGAUCAGCUUAGUUCCUUACUUCAAACAUUAAGGUCUGGUGGAUGACAGUUUGCAAAGGGGAACUCUUGAGCUUAAGCCUUCCCCUUGUUCCAAAAAUCUGUAAGAUUUCCAGAGAUGGUUGAAAACAUCUGGUAUGCUCUAGAAAGAAGAUACCUUUUGUCGCUGUCAACUGGCAUGUAUUUGUAUACACAUUUGAUGUUAGCCAGGAAAAUCUAGCAUUUCUUUUACCUGAACAGAAACAUCUUCUUGAGAGACACCAAUUAUCCACUUCAAUUCAGCCCUUGGCAAAUAAACAGAAUGUACUCUCAUGACACUGGUGUCAGCCAAUAUCAAACCAUACAGGUUCUGUGGGGUUAAGGCUUCUGGUAAAGAGGUGGCCUGAGGCCUUCUCUGGAAGGAAGGAUCAAAUGGAAAGGCAGUUGCUUUUUCUCCUGUAGAAUUUCUUUCAGGGUCAUUUUUAACAUUGUUAGUUUAGUUCAUUUUUUGUGCAUUUUGUAUCCUGUUGCAUAUGUCUGGAAUGUCGUAACUGGCAAAGCACAGAAAUCAAGUAAUUAACAGCAGGACUGUAGAAGGGUGCCAGACUGUUCUAUAUAAAUCACUGCUUUUCUUUUUGCAGUCCUUACUAAAUUUUCAAGGAUUAUUUUUAAAUUGUUUUGAGCUCUCUCUGAAUAUUUACCAGUAUCCAUGAUGUUCAAGCCGAUUAACUGUCCUCAUUUUUACAAUGUGAAGAUUUAAAUCCAUAGUUUAUAAAUAACAGAAAUAAAUAUAUUUUUGAGAAAUGCCUGGAAAUGAUCUUGGACUGUCAAGUUUAGUUUUGCACUGCAAAUCUUCCUUGUUUCAUUGACUGUAUUUUAUUAAUCAUCUGGAAAGAAGUUCGAUCUACUGUGUCUGUGCACUUACCUACUUCAACUAAAAAGAGCAAACACACUUUCCUGCCAUUUAUCUCCUUGUUAAAAUAUGACUGAAGAAUUCAAAAAUAUAAAUGAGCUAGAACGCUGGCACUAGUGUGGUUCAGAUGAAGGUGAAGGCAAAUGUUUCUGAGAAUUCUGUGCAAACUUUUAUUAUCCUUAAGAACUGAUGGUUACUUAGAAAAGGAUCAUUCUCUUAGUUCUGAGUUUGAAAACAGCAUAUUGUAGCUUUCACUCUUGUCCUCUCAUGUCCACACAGCAUGUGGCAAUAAUAGGAGAGAUGGGAGAACAGAGAAAGCUGGAAGUAGGAGGGAGCACAAAGCUGUGCCAUUAGCAUUACCAGUGAGGGUCUUUUAUAGGGGAUACCAAAAUGGGUGAGACUCUGUGACCUUCAUCCUUCAGAGCACUGAAGACAAAGUACUAGGUUCUGGUUUUAACUUCAGCACAUUUUGGAUUUUUAAUGUGGCUGAAAGCUUGCAUGCUCACUCUCUGGUUCCCCCUUAGGGUAUGCUUAAAAGAAGAUUUGAGAUCAGUCACGUCAAAGCUCUUAUUAUCACAUGGGCAUUGAUCAGUGUAAUUUCUCGUUUCCAUAAAGAGAAAGUAAAAACUGCAUACACUGAAACUAUUUAAAUAUUUGUAUCACAUGUAUUUUUGAUGUACAGACCAAUACAAAAUGUAAAGUCCUGUGAAAGACGCAUUCCUCACUGAAUUACGGCAUGUAGGGACCCCAAGGACAGAAGUUUACACUUUAUUGAAGCAAAUGCUUGAGAAGUUCUCCAGCUGCACAGAUAUACAAAGAUAGUAAUUAGCUUUCUCUCUGAUGAGGAGUGGAAGAAGAAAAAAGAUUUCUAAUGGUGACCAUCAUUUGGUAAGAGGAAGAGGAAAUGGAGCCAAAAUAGUGUAGCAUUUCAUAUGCUCCCAUUAAUUUGCUUAUAUAUCUCCAGCUACAGAAACUGUGCCUCCAACAUAGAAUAUACAUACAGAAUCCAGUAUCCCAUCCUCUUACCCCAUUUUAUGAGGUGUUCAUAGUUUUUCGUCAUCCUGCAGAUUUUACAGCUGUUACUAAAAGGAGAACAAUCUAUUGCUGCACUGUGUCUUGAACAUUGUAAGUGCCUGCGCUCUGUAGUGACCUUGUCAGAUAACAGAUGAAGAAAGAAGGGUAAUGUAGUGGUUAAACAUGUAGUUUUUUGCGUCCUGCUUUAUGGUAUUUUAAAUCGUAAGCUGUAGCAUUUAAUAAACCAAACAAACAGGCUUCCAAAUUGACAGGAGGGAUAAAUAGUAGAAGAACCAGAAUUACAUCUGUUAGGAUACUUUAUUCUCUUUUUAGCUGUCAUCUGCAAGGAAUGUUCCCAGGACAAUAAACUCAGAAUCCAGUUGGGAAAAUGAAAAUUGUUUUCCAUUUCUAUCAUCAGAAAACUGAAGGCAGAGCAAAGUAGUUAACUUGUGUUAGCACAAUGACAGAUGUCUAUAUCACACCCCCCACACUUUAUACCCCCAGACUGUUUGGUAAGUGUUUGCAUUCAAGGAGUUUAAGACUUUUGAAUAGGCAUGUGACUAUACCAGCAGUGUGAACGUUCAUGACCGCUGAUUUCUCUGUAGCUGCAUGUCCACUUUACUUCAGAUUGUCCGCUCUCCUCAUUAGUUAUAGUCAAGAGAGAUGUAUUCAAAGUUCAGGAAUAACGUCCCAAUUUUAAAUACUGUUUUUAGGUCAGAUUCUGGUUAUUUCCAUCAGGUAUUUCAAGCAAACAGAGAGCUCUGCCUGAGCAUCCACUUCUGAACCACUGAGGAGCUGAAGUGUUUUCUAGUCCCUUGGCAUAAGAGCUGCUUAGUCCUGAAAUACAGUGCUACUCUUUGGCUUCUCCAAGGAUUAAACCUUUUUUUCUGCUAAGUCAAGAGGAGUUUUUCUAUUGUUUUGAAUUAUUAUAGGAAUUUUUCUCAUCAAGUAGUAGCAUCCAUAGGAGGCACUGUUUCUCUGAGCAGUCCCAGAGCAGGGACAGAGUUUCCGGGGCUAUGCUGUUGGUAAGCAGGGAUUAUGAGGAUUCCUCCUGGCACUGGCAUGGAACAUCCCAGAAAAGAAGUUGGAGUUGUUGCCUAAGGAUUUACCAAUCCUGCAUCACUGCUUAUGUCUCCUAAGUAAUCUUGCUCUGUCACAUAGCACUUCUGAUGUCUGCUCAGUGGUAUGGCAUUCAUUACUUCAGUCUCUGGUUUCUGUCUGUGCUUUCUAUCACCUUUGCAAGAUUUCAUGAACUAUUAAUGAGAAAAACAUAAAGGACAGAGAGGCAACCGAUCACUGCUGGCUCCAGAAUAAGGCACAGUCCCUGAGAUGCUUGUGUGUAAAAUCAGCAGCUCUUCUAAAAAUCAUUGCUUGCAUAUACAAUACAGGAGCUGGUGAACUACACAAAAUGUAUGGAUUUUGUCAGCUAUCUUGUUUAGGUACAGCUUUGAACAUUAUAUGUGAGAUGAUUCAUAAGCAUCUAGUUGUUUUUAUGUCCUGACCGGCCUCAAUUGCUGCUGCAGAAGUGCUCACAUCUGUAAGUGUAGUAUACCUGCCAGACCAACAGAGAUGCCUUGGACAACCUGGGGCAUCUGAAUGGCACAGAUCCCUAAUUCAGAUGUGUCCUGAUCAUUCCCAAGAUGUCUGCCUAACUGGGAAAAUGGAAUACAUUUGAAGUUCAAAGCUUGUGUCUUCUGAGCAGGAUAAAAGGGUUUCCUUUGUCUUAGUUAAAUGGAUCAUUAGAAGAACAAGCAGUCCUUCAUGUUUUUACACAUGAAAGAAGGCCCAGAAAGUCACAAGCUCUCACAUGCAACUGAAAACUGUAAGUAUAUAGUGUGUUUAGAACUCAUAUGCAAGCUGUGGCUUUAAGAGUGUCAGUCUUUAUGUCACCUGACUGCCUUCAUUCAGUGAAAGGCAUUGUGGUGCUUUGAUUAAGAAUUCAUUAGAUUUCAGUAGUGUCAAAGACUGUCUUCAUCUAAACGUGAGUAGGCUGUUGUGAGAACUUUGCCAUUGUGUGAGAAGAAUGUACUGGUUGUGUGAUCUGCAAGUUUCAUUUCUACAUCUACAAAUCUCUUUCCAGACAUGAUUUAAUAUGGUUCAUGCCAUGUAACUCAAACAAUUCCAUGGAAAAAGUGGAACUAAAUAAAAUGGAAAUGAUCUGAAACCUUCAUCAUUAUUGUAAAAGCACAUAACCUUGUCAUGUAACUGACAACAAUAAGGUGAUGUGAGUUUCCUCAGUCUAAGUCCUGGAAUUAUUUAGUGUCACACCUAUUUGUGUAAUGGUAAAGAAAAAUUACACAUUCUAAAAGGCAAAGUAAAAAAUAAAAACCCAAAGGAUUAACAACAAACUUCUAUGAUUUUGGGGGGCUGCCUCAUGAAUGUUGAAUGCUUGUCAUUAACGAUACAUAAAUAAAAUAUUGGGCUUUAGAUUCUCUGGUUCUCCAGGUCUUUAUGGCUGUUA
This is a long non-coding RNA of Lagopus muta (rock ptarmigan), 5056 nucleotides long. RefSeq lists it as uncharacterized. The transcript has 3 exons. The record is from RefSeq and is a predicted model, not a curated record. Lineage: Eukaryota; Metazoa; Chordata; Aves; Galliformes; Phasianidae.